UGAAAAUGAUUAUAAAUCAAUGAAAUUGAUGGAGUUUGGAUUGGAAUCCAAGUGACAAGUAUUAAUUAAUCACUGAAAUUACUAAAUCAUACAAAUCAUCAGCCUUGAUACUGCCUCGAUUAAUUAAGGGUCGUGGUCAAACUUCAGAUGAAGAAACGGGUAAGGA
This is a long non-coding RNA of Dendronephthya gigantea, 166 nucleotides long. RefSeq lists it as uncharacterized. Lineage: Eukaryota; Metazoa; Cnidaria; Anthozoa; Malacalcyonacea; Nephtheidae. The transcript has 3 exons. The record is from RefSeq and is a predicted model, not a curated record.